GUCCCAAAGUCAUGGUUAAGUGGGAAACGAUGUGGGAAGGCCCAGACAGCCAGGAUGUUGGCUUAGAAGCAGCCAUCAUUUAAAGAAAGCGUAAUAGCUCACUGGUCGAGUCGGCCUGCGCGGAAGAUGUAACGGGGCUAAACCAUGCACCGAAGCUGCGGCAGCGAACGUAUCACUUAAAGCGAUUCAGCGGGUUACGAUUGACGGAGCGAAGCGACGUCAAAGCGUAUACAAAGUCGAGUCGGUUUAAGGAUACGUUCGUUGGGUAGGGGAGCGUUCUGUAAGCCCGUGAAGGUGGCCUGUGAGGGUUGCUGGAGGUAUCAGAAGUGCGAAUGCUGACAUAAGUAACGAUAAAGCGGGUGAAAAGCCCGCUCGCCGGAAGACCAAGGGUUCCUGUCCAACGUUAAUCGGGGCAGGGUGAGUCGACCCCUAAGGCGAGGCCGAAAGGCGUAGUCGAUGGGAAACGGGUUAAUAUUCCCGUACUUGGUGUUACUGCGAAGGGGGGACGGAGAAGGCUAUGUUGGCCGGGCGACGGUUGUCCCGGUUUAAGCGUGUAGGUGUGUGUUCCAGGUAAAUCCGGUUCACUUUAACACUGAGGCGUGACGACGAGGCACUACGGUGCUGAAGCAACAAAUGCCCUGCUUCCAGGAAAAGCCUCUAAGCAUCAGGUAACAUCAAAUCGUACCCCAAACCGACACAGGUGGUCAGGUAGAGAAUACCAAGGCGCUUGAGAGAACUCGGGUGAAGGAACUAGGCAAAAUGGUGCCGUAACUUCGGGAGAAGGCACGCUGACACGUAGGUGAAGUGAUUUACUCAUGGAGCUGAAGUCAGUCGAAGAUACCAGCUGGCUGC
RNAcentral lists this ribosomal RNA (852 nucleotides) under Salmonella enterica subsp. enterica serovar Give var. 15 str. CFSAN004343. Its description in RNAcentral is "bacterial LSU rRNA". It matches the Rfam family "Bacterial large subunit ribosomal RNA", at positions 1044 to 1797 of the family's 2925-position model. Lineage: Bacteria; Pseudomonadati; Pseudomonadota; Gammaproteobacteria; Enterobacterales; Enterobacteriaceae. The record is from RNAcentral.